GAUGAACGCUGGCGGCGUGCCUAAUACAUGCAAGUCGAGCGAACAGACGAGGAGCUUGCUCCUCUGACGUUAGCAGCGGACGGGUGAGUAACACGUGGAUAACCUACCUAUAAGACUGGGAUAACUUCGGGAAACCGGAGCUAAUACCGGAUAAUAUUUUGAACCGCAUGGUUCAAUAGUGAAAGACGGUUUUGCUGUCACUUAUAGAUGGAUCCGCGCCGCAUUAGCUAGUUGGUAAGGUAACGGCUUACCAAGGCAACGAUGCGUAGCCGACCUGAGAGGGGGAUCGGCCACACGGGAACUGAGACACGGUCCAGAUUCCUACGGGAGGCAGCAGUAGGGAAUCUUCCGCAAUGGGCGAAAGCCUGACGGAGCAACGCCGCGUGAGUGAUGAAGGUCUUCGGAUCGUAAAACUCUGUUAUUAGGGAAGAACAAAUGUGUAAGUAACUAUGCACGUCUUGACGGUACCUAAUCAGAAAGCCACGGCUAACUACGUG
Molecule: ribosomal RNA, 497 nt
Filed under: uncultured bacterium
Lineage: Bacteria
Description: partial 16S ribosomal RNA
Rfam family: Bacterial small subunit ribosomal RNA
Source: RNAcentral